CAGUGGAGGUCAAAGCUGAAAAAUGGUUGGAAAUCACCUUCACUCUUUGAGGACCAUCACCCAAGAAAAAUCGUCAGUUAGCUAAUCGAAUGUUGCUGAUCGAUAGAUCUGUUGUUCAGGUGGUGGCGACAUAAGUUAGCAAGUCGAUAGUGAAGUUGCGGACCAAAAAGGUCUUAUCUUUGAGCAACAAACGAAACUUCAAUCAAAAGCAGGAUAUGGGUUGGGGGAUUUGGACCAAGGGUAAAAAAUUGGUGACUAUUUUUUCUUGGGCGAAGGAAAUAGUUUGAAGAAAUAGAAGGAAAAAUUGGUGACUAUUUUUUUUUUUUUUAAUGCUAAUGUGGGAUGAAUAAAGGAGGUGAGGAAGUAGCAAACAUGGUUUAGAAGAGCAUCAUAGCAAGAUGGGGUGGUGGAGGAAGAUGAUGGUAGUAUGG
RNAcentral lists this long non-coding RNA (431 nucleotides) under Olea europaea subsp. europaea. The record is from RNAcentral. Lineage: Eukaryota; Viridiplantae; Streptophyta; Magnoliopsida; Lamiales; Oleaceae.